Oncorhynchus keta (chum salmon) is the source of this 457-nucleotide long non-coding RNA. RefSeq lists it as uncharacterized. The record is from RefSeq and is a predicted model, not a curated record. Lineage: Eukaryota; Metazoa; Chordata; Actinopteri; Salmoniformes; Salmonidae. The transcript has 3 exons.
UAGAUACUACAACAAGAAGGUAGUGACACUACACACUGAGACACUGGAGGGGUUAUAGAUACUACAACAAGAAGGUAGUGACACUACACACUGAGACACGGGAGGGGUUAUAGAUACUACAACAAGAAGGUAGUGACACUACACACUGAGACACUGGAGGGGUUAUAGAUACUACAACAAGAAGGUAGUGACACUACACACUGAGACACGGGAGGGGUUAUAGAUACUACAACAAGAAGGUAGUGACACUACACACUGAGACACUGGAGGGGUUAUAGAUACUACAACAAGAAGGUAGUGACACUACACACUGAGACACGGGAGGGGUUAUAGAUACUACAACAAGAAGGUAGUGACACUACACACUGAGACACUGGAGGGGUUAUAGAUACUACAACAAGAAGGUAGUGACACUACACACUGAGACACUGGAGGGGUUAUAGAUACUACAACAAGA